UGACCUCUGGAAAGCAGGCCUGACGGCCUCGCCGAAGGUGAAAGUCCGGCAAAAACCGGGCGAAGCUCUCAGGCAUCGAUGACAGAGGGGGAGGA
Molecule: regulatory RNA element, 95 nt
Organism: Streptosporangium roseum DSM 43021
Lineage: Bacteria; Bacillati; Actinomycetota; Actinomycetes; Streptosporangiales; Streptosporangiaceae
Rfam family: Glycine riboswitch aptamer
About the family: This family represents the bacterial glycine riboswitch. Glycine riboswitches usually consist of two metabolite-binding aptamers domains with similar structures in tandem.
Source: Rfam